Molecule: transfer RNA, 72 nt
Filed under: Burkholderia cenocepacia
Lineage: Bacteria; Pseudomonadati; Pseudomonadota; Betaproteobacteria; Burkholderiales; Burkholderiaceae
Description: tRNA-Val
Rfam family: tRNA
About the family: Transfer RNA (tRNA) molecules are approximately 80 nucleotides in length.
Source: RNAcentral
CGUAGCUCAGUUGGUUAGAGCACCACCUUGACAUGGUGGGGGUCGUUGGUUCGAAUCCAAUCGAGCCUACCA